UCUGCCUCCUGCAGAGCCCGGAGGCCUGGCCCCAGCUGACUCAGGCCCAGAGCUCUGAGAGCAGAGGGCACACCCCAGAACACAGUGAGGCCCUCCACACUGUGCUGCCGGAGGCCAGGCUGAACACCGGCUGCUCCAGGAGGCUUCUUCCCGCGGUGGCAUCCUGAGGGACCUCAGAGCCUUCUCUGCAGUCCCUCUGCUAAGGUGCAGACCGGCCAGGAUGGACCAGGCCAGGUCUUUCACGGACCCACCAUACUCUUCUGCAUGUGGCCCACAUGAAGAAACCCAGCUCUCAGCAGCAGCAGACCUGCGGGGAAGGGCCAGGCCCGCAGUCGGCUCCUCUGGCAGAAGUCAGACCUGCCUGAUGAGCCUGGUGGCCCUGAAAGCCAGCAGCACUCCAGGACACUGCAGCCCAUGGACACCGACUCCUCAGGGGUCCACCAUGGCCUGAGAGGUGGAAACUCCCAGCAUUGCCGGCCGGUCACCAACCUCUGUUCUCCUUCCAGCCCAUGAGCUGGAAGAUGGGCUGAGCAUGAGUGUGGGCCAGUCCCCAAGGGAGGAUGAGAUAGCAGGGUCUCACCCCCUGGGGACAGCCCAAAUCCCUGCCAAGCCGCCUGAAGGUGGGCGUGACCUCCGUUAUUCUGGAACUAGGAGCCUGAGCACCUUCCUCUGUAAUGAGGAAUCCUAGGAAACAGUUAUGGAGAUGUUGGGAGGAAGGUGACCUCCCCAGGCUGACACCCAGGAGACACGCACACCCUGCUUCUGGG
This 767-nucleotide long non-coding RNA is filed under the name Marmota monax (woodchuck). The record is from RNAcentral. Lineage: Eukaryota; Metazoa; Chordata; Mammalia; Rodentia; Sciuridae.